GAUGAACGCUGGCGGCGUGCCUAAUACAUGCAAGUCGAGCGAACGGACGAGAAGCUUGCUUCUCUGAUGUUAGCGGCGGACGGGUGAGUAACACGUGGAUAACCUACCUAUAAGACUGGGAUAACUUCGGGAAACCGGAGCUAAUACCGGAUAAUAUUUUGAACCGCAUGGUUCAAAAGUGAAAGACGGUCUUGCUGUCACUUAUAGAUGGAUCCGCGCUGCAUUAGCUAGUUGGUAAGGUAACGGCUUACCAAGGCAACGAUGCAUAGCCGACCUGAGAGGGUGAUCGGCCACACUGGAACUGAGACACGGUCCAGACUCCUACGGGAGGCAGCAGUAGGGAAUCUUCCGCAAUGGGCGAAAGCCUGACGGAGCAACGCCGCGUGAGUGAUGAAGGUCUUCGGAUCGUAAAACUCUGUUAUUAGGGAAGAACAUAUGUGUAAGUAACUGUGCACAUCUUGACGGUACCUAAUCAGAAAGCCACGGCUAACUACGUGCCAGCAGCCGCGGUAAUACGUAGGUGGCAAGCGUUAUCCGGAAUUAUUGGGCGUAAAGCGCGCGUAGGCGGUUUUUUAAGUCUGAUGUGAAAGCCCACAGCUCAACCGUGGAGGGUCAUUGGAAACUGGAAAACUUGAGUGCAGAAGAGGAAAGUGGAAUUCCAUGUGUAGCGGUGAAAUGCGCAGAGAUAUGGAGGAACACCAGUGGCGAAGGCGACUUUCUGGUCUGUAACUGACGCUGAUGUGCGAAAGCGUGGGGAUCAAACAGGAUUAGAUACCCUGGUAGUCCACGCCGUAAACGAUGAGUGCUAAGUGUUAGGGGGUUUCCGCCCCUUAGUGCUGCAGCUAACGCAUUAAGCACUCCGCCUGGGGAGUACGACCGCAAGGUUGAAACUCAAAGGAAUUGACGGGGACCCGCACAAGCGGUGGAGCAUGUGGUUUAAUUCGAAGCAACGCGAAGAACCUUACCAAAUCUUGACAUCCUUUGACAACUCUAGAGAUAGAGCUUUCCCCUUCGGGGGACAAAGUGACAGGUGGUGCAUGGUUGUCGUCAGCUCGUGUCGUGAGAUGUUGGGUUAAGUCCCGCAACGAGCGCAACCCUUAAGCUUAGUUGCCAUCAUUAAGUUGGGCACUCUAAGUUGACUGCCGGUGACAAACCGGAGGAAGGUGGGGAUGACGUCAAAUCAUCAUGCCCCUUAUGAUUUGGGCUACACACGUGCUACAAUGGACAAUACAAAGGGCAGCGAAACCGUGAGGUCAAGCAAAUCCCAUAAAGUUGUUCUCAGUUCGGAUUGUAGUCUGCAACUCGACUACAUGAAGCUGGAAUCGCUAGUAAUCGUAGGUCAGCAUGCUACGGUGAAUACGUUCCCGGGUCU
This 1372-nucleotide ribosomal RNA is filed under the name uncultured bacterium. Its description in RNAcentral is "bacterial SSU rRNA". It matches the Rfam family "Bacterial small subunit ribosomal RNA", at positions 28 to 1381 of the family's 1533-position model. The record is from RNAcentral.